This 3765-nucleotide long non-coding RNA is filed under the name Salmo salar (Atlantic salmon). RNAcentral describes it as "lncRNA (ENSSSAG00000084811.1)". The record is from RNAcentral. Lineage: Eukaryota; Metazoa; Chordata; Actinopteri; Salmoniformes; Salmonidae.
CUAGAACACUCCUGUUAACCCUGUCAGUUCUAGAACACUCCUGUUAACCCUGUCAGUUCUAGAACACUCCUGUUAACCCUGUCAGUUCUAGAACACUCCUGUUAACCCUGUCAGUUCUAGAACAUUCCUGUUAACCCUGUCAGUUCUAGAACACUCCUGUUAACCCUGUCAGUUCUAGAACACUCCUGUUAACCCUGUCAGUUCUAGAACACUCCUGUUAACCCUGUCAGUUCUAGAACACUCCUGUUAACCCUGUCAGUUCUAGAACAUUCCUGUUAACCCUGUCAGUUCUAGAACACUCCUGUUAACCCUGUCAGUUCUAGAACACUCCUGUUAACCCUGUCAGUUCUAGAACACUCCUGUUAACCCUGUCAGUUCUAGAACACUCCUGUUAACCCUGUCAGUUCUAGAACAUUCUUGUUGACCCUGUCAGUUCUAGAACAUUCCUGUUGACCCUGUCAGUUCUAGAACAUGAACACUACUACAGUCAGAUAAAUACACUGACAGGAUCCCAGUCUGGUCCGGCCACACUACACUACCCAGAGUUCCACAGCAGGUUUAGUCACACGGUAGUCAGGUUAUUGCCUUGCUAAUGGCUGGUGUUAUACACUGUUACUAUGGUUACUGUGAGAGAGACAGAGCUAGUGACGUUAACAGAACUACAGUAGGCCGGUGAAAUGGUUGGUGAAAUGGUCGGUGAAAUGGUCGGUGAAAUGGUCGGUGAAAUGGUUGGUGUCUGUGUCCGGGGGGACUGAGGUGACCAUUGUGACACUGAGUUCAAACACAGAGGCCACACAACAUACAUUGUUCUGUUCUGACGAGAGAGCGAGAGAGAGAGAGAGAGAGAGAGUUUGGCUUCUCUCCUCUCUUUGUGUUGUAGUGUCUCUGUAGUGUCUCUGUCUCUCUAGACCUGGUUGUAGUGUCUCUCUAGACCAGGUUGUAGUGUCUCUCUAGACCAGGUUGUAGUGUCUCUGUAGUGUCUCUCUAGACCAGGUUGUAGUAUCUCUCUAGACCAGGUUGUAGUGUCUCUGUAGUAUCUCUCUAGACCAGGUUGUAGUGUCUCUGUAGUGUCUAUCUAGACCAGGUUGUAGUGUCUCUCUAGACCAGGUUGUAGUGUCUCUCUAGACCAGGUUGUAGUGUCUCUCUAGACCAGGUUGUAGUGUCUAUCUAGACCAGGUUGUAGUGUCUCUGUAGUAUCUCUCUAGACCAGAUUGUAGUGUCUCUGUCUCUCUAGACCAGGUUGUAGUGUCUCUCUAGACCAGGUUGUAGUGUCUCUCUAGACCAGGUUGUAGUGUCUCUCUAGACCAGGUUGUAAUGUCUCUCUAGACCAGGUUGUAGUGUCUCUCUAGACCAGGUUGUAGUGUCUCUGUAGUGUCUAUCUAGACCAGGUUGUAGUGUCUCUCUAGACCAGGUUGUAGUGUCUCUCUAGACCAGGUUGUAGUGUCUAUCUAGACCAGGUUGUAGUGUCUCUCUAGACCAGGUUGUAGUAUCUCUCUAGACCAGGUUGUAGUGUCUCUCUAGACCAGGUUGUAGUGUCUCUGUAGUGUCUCUGUAGUAUCUCUCUAGACCAGGUUGUAGUGUCUCUGUAGUAUCUCUCUAGACCAGGUUGUAGUGUCUAUCUAGACCAGGUUGUAGUGUCUCUGUAGUAUCUCUCUAGACCAGGUUGUAGUGUCUCUCUAGACCAGGUUGUAAAGUAACAGGUCUUUAUCUCCAGGAUAACUGAAACAUGAACAACACUACAACCAUGUUAGAUUAACAAAGCUACGACCAGGUGAUAUUAACAACACUACGACCAGGUUAGAUUAACGACCAGGUUAGAUUAACGACCAGGUUAGAUUAACAACACUACGACCAGGUUAGAUUAACAACACUACGACCAGGUUAGAUUAACAACCCUACAACCAGGUUAGAUUAACAACACUACGACCAGGUUAUCUGAACAACACUACGACAAGGUUAGAUUAACAACACAACGACCAGGUUAGAUUAACGACCAGGUUAUAUUAUCAACACUAUGAUCAUGUUAGAUUAACAACACUACGACCAGGUUAGAUUAACAACACUACGGCCAGGUUAGAUUAACGACCAGGUUAGAUUAACGACCAGGUCAGAUUAACGACCAGGUUAGAUUAACAACACUAUGACCAGGUUAGAUUAACAACCAGGUCAUAUUAACAACACUACGACCAGGUUAGAUUAACGACCAGGUCAGAUUAACGACCAGGUUAGAUUAACAACACUACGCCCAAAUUAUAUUAAAAACACUACGACCAGGUUAGAUUAACGACCAGGUUAGAAUAACAACAACACUACGACCAGGUUAGAUUAACGACCAGGUUAGAUUAACAACAGUACGACCAGGUUAGAUUAACAACACUACAACUAGGUUAGAUUAACGACCAGGUUAGAAUAACAACACUACGACCAGGUUAGAAUAACAACCAGGUUAGUUUAACAACACUACGACCAGGUUAGAUUAACAACAGUACGACCAGGUUACAUUAACAACACUACAACCAGGUUAGAUUAACGACCAGGUUAGAAUAACGACCAGGUUAUAUUAACAACACUACGACCAGGCACACACAGUCUCAAAUGGAACCCUUUUCCACAGCUCCCUAUGUGGCCCCUGGUCAAAAGUAGUGCACUAUGUAGGGGAUAGAGUACCAUUUGGGUCAACCCCAAACUAAUCUUCCUCUGUGCUGAACCCCUCCACAGAACCAGUGAACCAUCUUGACCGGUUCUGUGGCUCAGGACCCUCCUGGGUCCCCAGUGUUGUGGAACAUUACCGAAUAAACAGGUUUACAAAGUUAUUGUUGUGUGGGUUUUUUUUCCGUUCACUUGCAUCCUCCCCUCCCCUCCCCCCGUUCAGGAUGAAAAUGGUUUAGUCCACUGACUCCGCUCAGCUGUCCAUCACACACUCUCCAUAAUGAUCACCACAGAAUCCUCCUCAGCCAAUGGGGUGUCUCCUGGGGCGGGGCUACACAGGGUUAGUCCCUCCCCUGACACCUGAUCUCUAACCGGGCAGUCCAGGCUGUCGUGGAGCUCGCUCACCCCUUCCACUUCUCCUUCAUCGCCUCCUCCUCCUCUCCUCCCUUCCCCUGCUUCCUCCACUCCCUCCUCCUCCUCCUCUUCCUCCUCCUCCUCCUCCUCCUCCUCCUCCUCGUCUUCCUCAACCUGACAGCGGCACACCUCGAUGCCCGAGUCCCCUGUUAGACGGCGGUGACGAUACUGACUCGCAUCAGCCCCAACUUCCUCCUGCUCUUCCUCUUCCUCCUCCUCCUCCUCUCCCUCGCUCCUGUAGGUGUGGGGGACAAGCUGGUACACGUCCACGCAGGGGGAGAACAGGGUCUGCUUGGGGGGAGACUGGGUGGGCCUGGGGGAGAAAGGGGGAGGAGAGGAGGGGGAGAAAGGGGGAGGAGAGGACAAGGGAGAGACAGGGGGAGGAAAGCAGGAGGGAGAGACCGAGAGGGUAGAGGCUGGGGAGAGCGUAGAGGCUGGGGAGAGCGCAGAGAGGGUAGGGGCUAGAGAGGCUAGGGUUAGGGUAGGAGAAUGGGCUGGGGAGAGCGCAGAGAGGGUAGGAGUUUGGGCUGGGGAGAGCGCAGAGAGGGUAGGGGCUGGAGAGGCUAGGGUUAGGGUAGGAGAAUGGGCUGGGGAGAGCGCAGAGAGGGUAGGAGGUUGGGCUGGGGAGAGCGCAGAGAGGGUAGGGGGGCUGGAGAGGCUAGGGUUAGGGUAGGAGGUUGGGCUGGGGAGAGCGCAGAGGGG